GCCCUUGCGGAUCGCGGCCGCUGCAGAGUUUGAUCCUGGCUCAGGAUGAACGCUGGCGGUCUGCUUAACACAUGCAAGUCGAACGGAGUGCUUCGGCACUUAGUGGCGGACGGGUGAGUAACGCGUGAGAAUCUGCCCUUAGGACGGGGACAACAGCUGGAAACGGCUGCUAAUACCCGAUGUGCCGAGAGGUGAAACAUUUUAUGGCCUGAGGAUGAGCUCGCGUCUGAUUAGCUAGUUGGUGGGGUAAGAGCCUACCAAGGCGACGAUCAGUAGCUGGUCUGAGAGGAUGAUCAGCCACACUGGGACUGAGACACGGCCCAGACUCCUACGGGAGGCAGCAGUGGGGAAUUUUCCGCAAUGGGCGCAAGCCUGACGGAGCAAGACCGCGUGCGGGAGGACGGCCUAUUGGUUGUAAACCGCUUUUGAUAGGGAAGAAGUACUGACGGUACCUAUCGAAUCAGCAUCGGCUAACUCCGUGCCAGCAGCCGCGGUAAUACGGAGGAUGCAAGCGUUAUCCGGAAUUAUUGGGCGUAAAGCGUCCGUAGGUGGUUGUUCAAGUCUGCUGUUAAAGCGUGCGGCUUAACCGCAUACCAGCAGUGGAAACUGGGCGACUAGAGUGCGGUAGGGGUCAGGGGAAUUCCCAGUGUAGCGGUGAAAUGCGUAGAUAUUGGGAAGAACACCGGUGGCGAAAGCGCCUGACUGGACCUGCACUGACACUGAGGGACGAAAGCUAGGGGAGCGAAAGGGAUUAGAUACCCCUGUAGUCCUAGCCGUAAACGAUGGACACUAGGUGUUGCCCGUAUCGACCCGGGCAGUGCCGUAGCCAACGCGUUAAGUGUCCCGCCUGGGGAGUACGCUCGCAAGAGUGAAACUCAA
RNAcentral lists this ribosomal RNA (879 nucleotides) under uncultured bacterium. Its description in RNAcentral is "bacterial SSU rRNA". It matches the Rfam family "Bacterial small subunit ribosomal RNA", at positions 1 to 904 of the family's 1533-position model. The record is from RNAcentral.